This 270-nucleotide long non-coding RNA is filed under the name Rattus norvegicus (Norway rat). Its description in RNAcentral is "long non-coding RNA NONRATT032724". Lineage: Eukaryota; Metazoa; Chordata; Mammalia; Rodentia; Muridae. The record is from RNAcentral.
UUCCAUUUUGAUUCCCAAACAUGCUUUAUUUUUUUUUUUUUUUUUUGGCCAAGCCAUGGUUGACAUCUAUGUAGAUGAAGAAAAGAAUACUUCAAACCAACCAACCUCAUGUAUUACUCAAUAAUAAAAUCUAAAGGAAUAUUUAGGAGUGACAUCCUCAGAUACAACAUGCUCUUUAAUAUGCCAAAGCCACCUCAAGUAAGUGAUUUCCUUUUAAGUCAUUCAUUUAUCUAUUAUUAUGAGUAGUAAUAACAGUAUUUGAACUUCAGA